Caenorhabditis elegans is the source of this 21-nucleotide non-coding RNA. The record is from Ensembl. NCBI's taxonomy places the organism in Eukaryota, Metazoa, Nematoda, Chromadorea, Rhabditida, Rhabditidae.
UUCACUUAGAAUUUUCUGACU